This 209-nucleotide long non-coding RNA is filed under the name Manihot esculenta (cassava). Its description in RNAcentral is "long non-coding RNA (MESC_LNC004697)". The record is from RNAcentral. Lineage: Eukaryota; Viridiplantae; Streptophyta; Magnoliopsida; Malpighiales; Euphorbiaceae.
GAAAAGCCACCUUCGGAAGCACCUUCGGCGGCCGAAAGCCUCGUCCAGAGCCGAAAGUCACCCAUCUUCGGCGGCACCUUCGGCGGCCGAAAGUCUGCUCCAGAGCCGAAAGUCCAGCUCCCGAAAAUAAGCUUAGGCGGCCGAAAGCCUCCCCGAAUUGCCUCUUCCUUCUUCAAGAAGCCAAAUCUUGGAGAUCACAUGUUUCCCAC